Molecule: transfer RNA, 73 nt
Filed under: Oscillospiraceae bacterium
Lineage: Bacteria; Bacillati; Bacillota; Clostridia; Eubacteriales; Oscillospiraceae
Description: tRNA-Thr
Rfam family: tRNA
About the family: Transfer RNA (tRNA) molecules are approximately 80 nucleotides in length. Their secondary structure includes four short double-helical elements and three loops (D, anti-codon, and T loops).
Source: RNAcentral
GCUGUCUUAGCUCAGCAGGCAGAGCACUUCCUUGGUAAGGAAGAGGUCGGCGGUUCGAACCCGCUAGACAGCU